GAUUCAUUUGAACGAAUUCACUGGUAAAAUGGAGCGACAACGGUUCCUGCACCAGCCCGGUGCACCGUCUUAACACAUUCAGGGAGGAGACAGGCAACAAAAGUGGAUGAAGGCAGGCCGAGUGUCAUCCAUCAGAGAGAAAGAGUUUCAGGUCUUUACCUUGCUGAACGACCAGCUAUGGCCACGUCUUAACCACCUGGCAGAGGCGAACCAGUUUUGGCGAUGAAACGUCUGGGAACAUAUCAGAAUUCAUCAGGCUUCACAAGAACCGUUAGACCAUCAGAGACC
This is a long non-coding RNA of Ictalurus punctatus (channel catfish), 288 nucleotides long. RefSeq lists it as uncharacterized. The transcript has 3 exons. NCBI's taxonomy places the organism in Eukaryota, Metazoa, Chordata, Actinopteri, Siluriformes, Ictaluridae. The record is from RefSeq and is a predicted model, not a curated record.